Molecule: small RNA, 64 nt
Filed under: Vibrio proteolyticus NBRC 13287
Lineage: Bacteria; Pseudomonadati; Pseudomonadota; Gammaproteobacteria; Vibrionales; Vibrionaceae
Description: int-alpA RNA
Rfam family: int-alpA RNA
About the family: Acidobacteria (1 example), Planctomycetes (1 example), Proteobacteria. Environment (Lake Washington)
Source: Rfam by way of RNAcentral
GUGUUGCCUAGGGUAGCUCCCGAACGCCGUCACUCUAACGGCUGGCAACACUUCCCUUUAGAGG